Populus trichocarpa (black cottonwood) is the source of this 1649-nucleotide long non-coding RNA. RefSeq lists it as uncharacterized. The transcript is spliced from 3 exons. The record is from RefSeq and is a predicted model, not a curated record. Lineage: Eukaryota; Viridiplantae; Streptophyta; Magnoliopsida; Malpighiales; Salicaceae.
UAUAUAAAAAUCCAUCUUUAAGGCAUUUUUUCCACUUAAGCAGCCAACUAGAACUUGCAAAAGAAGUUCUCUCUUCUAUCUAUUUAUUAUUUAUUAGUUUCUCUUCAUCAAUUUUUAGCUUUACAGCCAGCAUUAUCAAUGGCGUACCCGCAUGCUUUGACUACAAUAAAUUGCUUGUUUUGCGUUUUACUAAGGUUAGGUUGAUGAAUUAUUUACUUCUAUGGGAUCUAAGUACUCUCCAAGUAAAAAAAACAAAAUUGAAAUCCAUGACCAAGAUUGAGUUUUUUUCCUUUUUAAGAUAAACCCAGUUCAAAAAUUUUGGAUUUUCUUAUUUUUAGUUACAUGGGCAAAGAAAGAUCUGAGAUAUGAGGGGUUUUGUUCUAUAUUUUAAGUGAUAGUAUCGGUUAUUGGGAUUUGCGAUGAAUUGUUACUGUAGCUAGUUAAAAACAACGGUCAUGAGGAGAACUACUAGAUAGUAUGGUUCUUCUUAUAGGAGUUUUGAAGCUGCUCAAUGUGCUUGAAAAUGGACGUCCUCCGUAUUUGUUUGUGGCUUUUCGUUCUUGUAUGUGAAUGGCCCUUGAUUCAAUAAAGCAUAUGCAAUGUUGAUUUAAUGUGCAAAUGAAAAGAUAAAAAGACAAGGAGAAUAUGCUUCGCUGAAGACAUUUUGAGAUACAAUAUCCUAAAGUGAGUGUGGUAUUGAUGACUUAACAGCAUUGUCUGUCUUUUGGCUGAUGCAUAAACAUUGAUAGAUGGGUGAACUUGGGAAGUAUGGCUCUGUAACCGAGUCAACAGCAGGUGCUGAUCCAUGGUGACCUGAGUGUCAUCAACUUACAAGCCAUAUGAAUUUACCUUGAAACUCACCGUUGUUGUGUUGAUUGGCCCAUAACCUAGUUAAAUUUAUGUUCGGAUUUUUUUUUUUCUUAUUUUGUGAUUCUUUCAUUUCAAGGGUAGAUUGCUGCACGCAGAAAUGGGUAAUUCUUGGUUGAUUUAAUGCCAAAUCACCUUUUGCAUGGUGCCCAAAUUGUGCUGCUUUUCACAAUUGAAGGGAGAUGCUGUCCAUUGGCUUCCUUCAGGGAACUCUUUUGCUGGUCAGUGGAUACUCUCCAAUUAGCUGUGACAAACUUCUCUGCAGACAAGCAUGUGUUGUGGAUCCAAGCUCCCAUCAAAAUCGCGGCAAGCUCUUUGUAAGUACAAUAAGAUCAGACUCUUGAGAGGAUGAUGUCUGAUCGGAAACCUACUGCUGAUGAUGUUUUGGAAAAAUCUUUCACGGUUUCUGAUUGAGUUAACUUUGAUGAAGAAUAAAAGAACAGCUGAAUCCUGCUAGACCUUUUUUUUGCUGCCUGUUCCUUUCUAUGCAGCAAUGGAUGGUUCUGCUACCACUGGAAUGAGUAGCUAAACAUUCUCUCUGUCAAAACAGCCUUAAACAUCAAUAGGAUUGUAGACUCAUAACAUUAGGAUAGGUCAUUUUGCUGCCUUCUCUUGGAAUUGUUUGUUGAUGUAAUUUUGGCUUAGAGAAAUGCCACCCAUGGACAUGAAUGGCCAAACAUUGUCUACCAACAACUGUUACACUCAUAGCAGGGUUUGGUUGUAUUUUAUGUCAUUUGCCAGUGUAAUGCACACACGGUCAAUAUUCACAGCUAUUGGCAGAA